UUUUCUUAGAAUUUUUUUAAUUAUGUUAUUAGUAAAUUUCAAAAAAACUUUCCAAAACAUGUAGAGACAAAAUCUCCAAGCAUUCCAAAAUUCCCAAGACAAAAUAUCAACAAAAUUGAAGAAAAGAUUAAAGUGGUGGACAAAGGUCAUAAUGCUAAUAAUUUGGUUGUUCUAUACCAUUUGUGACUUGAUUUUGAGACUAUAAAAAGAGGUACGAGAACCAUAUUUCAACAACUAACAACCACCAAUUUUCACAUACCAACACCAAUUUUCACGUACCAAAUACGGCGCUGUGCAUACUUUUCUAACACAUUAAAAUUCAUCUCUAACAAGAACCUGUACAAAUUUUUUUCAAUCAAACAAACUCUCAUAACCAUACAUCACAAUCCACCAUUACUGAAACUUCAUCAAUCAAACAUAAACUCUCAUAAUCAUACAUCACAAUCCACCAUUAUUGAAACUUCAUCAACAACACCUCUACAACCUCAAACAAUAUCCAAACUCUCCAACGCAAUAACGAUAACCGAUCAGAGAAAAAAUUUUGAAACACUAAAAAAGAUUUUUUAUUAUUGCAGAUUGCAGAUCCACGCUCAUAGUGUUCAUGUUGCCAUCUCACUCGGACUUCCGCUGACAAAUCUCCGACGACAAUCCACACAAUUACCGCUCAAAGCACCCACGAACCGAACUCCCACGUCAGAGCCACGAUUGGGAACAAGGCUAAUUUUAUGGUUUCUCUUGGAGAAAGAGAUGUAAAUUUCUUUUGCUUACUGUGAUCUCUAUCUUCAAACGUGUGGAUGUGGUUUGUUAUUUGAUUUUUUUUUCUAAUAAUUUAAAUGCCACUUGUAGAGACAUGAUUAGGUGCUGUUUUUAUUUUUUAUAAAGUAGAAAAAUGAAUAUUGAAUGGCUCCAAGAGGUAUCACACAGCGGCACCUCACAUGCUGCUCCAUCUAACUUUUUUAGUUUUUAUAUUAUUUAUUAUUAUUAAUGUUCUUUUCAUCAAAAAAUAUUGUUAUAACUUAAUUGCUUUUGUCUAGAGUUUAUAUAUAUAUAUAUAUAUAUAUAUAUAUAUAUAUAUAUAUAUAUAUAUAUAUAUAUAUAUAUAUAUAUAACAAAAUACAAAAAAUAUUAAUGUUGUGUAGUUAGAUUUUUUUUUAUAUAUAAUAACAAAAAUACAAAAAAUAUAUAUUCUUUAAUUUCAUUUAACUUUUGUUAGAAUUUAAAUAUUCUAUAUUUUUUUAUGUCAUUGUGUUACUAACAUUUUCUCUUGAUUGCGAGGUACAACACUUGAAGUCUUUGGACUAUCUCAAAUUCCAUUUGCUUAUAUUAUCUCUGAUUUUUGUUUUAAUUUAUAUCCUGGGGUUGUAAUAAUUUUUAUUCCCGUCUAUUGAGUUUUGUAAUCCCCGCUCCCAAAGCCAUGUAAUAGCGUAGGAUUUACUUUUCCGCAUCUUAUUAACUGUUAUUUAACUGCCUAGAUGUAUGCUAAUAGGAUUGUAUGAAAAGACUUAAAAUUAAUCGUAGAUCACUAAACCCAAGAUAAAUAUCUGAAUACUAACACACUUGCACUCACUCACCUCUAGGGUACGCCUCUCUCGUUGCCUUCGGAAAUAAAAGGUCGUGUUCCUCGAAAUAUAGAGGUACCCAUUAGCAAAUGUCCCUCAAGAUAAAAUCGUCACUAAGUCCCUCGAUGACCCUCGAUUGUUGCCUACGAAAAAGUGACGAUCGCCCCUUCGAAUAUUGCUAAAGGUACCUCUACUUGUUGCCUUCAAACGACCUCGAUGACCCUUCGAUGACCCGCACGUCCAAUAUAACAGGGACUACCUACUCCUAUAUAGUAUGGAUAGUCCUGGGAACUUUAAAAAUUACAGAAAAAGAUCAAUCUAGGGUAAUGCUCUUAAUAUGCCUAGCUCUAUUAAAAAACAUCUUUUCAACACUUUUCAAAGACUAAGGCUACGCAUUUAGGCUAAAGUCCUUAUGUCCCUUUUCAAUUCAAAACAAACAAACAUGAGCUAAGCAAGUUAAGAGCCCGUAGACAACUACGGAUGAAAAGGGUGCUUACACCUUCCCUUUUCAUAACUUACCCCCCGAGCCCGUUUUCUUUCAAAAAGAUCAAUCUAGGGUAAUGCUCUUAAUAUGCCUAGCUCUAUUAAAAAACAUCUUUUCAACACUUUUCAAAGACUAAGGCUACGCAUUUACGCUAAAGUCCUUAUGUCCCUUUUCAAUUCAAAACAAACAAACAUGAGCUAAGCAAGUUAAGAGCCCGUAGACAACUACGGAUGAAAAGGGUGCUUACACCUUCCCUUUUCAUAACUUACCCCCCGAGCCCGUUUUCUUUCAAAAAGGUCUUUUUCUGUACUUUUUACCUUUCCUAACAUUGGACAAAAUAAAAGUCGGUGGCGACUCAUGCUCACCGCAACAUUGG
This is a long non-coding RNA of Vicia villosa (hairy vetch), 2419 nucleotides long. RefSeq lists it as uncharacterized. The transcript is spliced from 2 exons. The record is from RefSeq and is a predicted model, not a curated record. NCBI's taxonomy places the organism in Eukaryota, Viridiplantae, Streptophyta, Magnoliopsida, Fabales, Fabaceae.